RNAcentral lists this ribosomal RNA (253 nucleotides) under uncultured bacterium. RNAcentral's name for it is "partial 16S ribosomal RNA". It matches the Rfam family "Bacterial small subunit ribosomal RNA", at positions 524 to 776 of the family's 1533-position model. The record is from RNAcentral.
GACAGAGGGUGCAAACGUUGUUCGGAAUUACUGGGCGUAAAGCGUGUGUAGGCGGCUCUGCAAGUCGGAUGUGAAAGCCCCGGGCUCAACCUGGGAAGUGCAUUCGAAACUGCUGAGCUUGAGUAUCGGAGAGGUUGGUGGAAUUCUCGGUGGAGAGGUGAAAUUCGUAGAUAUCGAGGGGAACACCAGUGGCGAAGGCGGCCAACUGGACGAAUACUGACGCUGAGACACGAAAGCGUGGGGAGCAAACAGG